GAUGAACGCUAGCGACAGGCUUAACACAUGCAAGUCGAGGGGCAGCAUGGUCUUAGCUUGCUAAGGCCGAUGGCGACCGGCGCACGGGUGAGUAACACGUAUCCAACCUGCCGUCUACUCUUGGACAGCCUUCUGAAAGGAAGAUUAAUACAAGAUGGCAUCAUGAGUCCGCAUGUUCACAUGAUUAAAGGUAUUCCGGUAGACGAUGGGGAUGCGUUCCAUUAGAUAGUAGGCGGGGUAACGGCCCACCUAGUCUUCGAUGGAUAGGGGUUCUGAGAGGAAGGUACCCCACAUUGGAACUGAGACCCAGUCCCCACUCCGACGGGAGGCAGCGGUGUGGAAUAUUAGUCAAUGGGCGCUGGCCUGAACCAGCCACGUAGCGUGAAGGAUGCCUGCCCUCUGGGUUGUAAGCUUCUUUUAUAAAGGAAUAAAGUCGGGUACGUAUACCCGUUUGCCUGUACCUUAUGAAUAAGGAUCGGCUAACUCCGUG
RNAcentral lists this ribosomal RNA (490 nucleotides) under uncultured bacterium. RNAcentral describes it as "partial 16S ribosomal RNA". It matches the Rfam family "Bacterial small subunit ribosomal RNA", at positions 28 to 507 of the family's 1533-position model. The record is from RNAcentral.